RNAcentral lists this ribosomal RNA (274 nucleotides) under uncultured bacterium. RNAcentral's name for it is "partial 16S ribosomal RNA". It matches the Rfam family "Bacterial small subunit ribosomal RNA", at positions 523 to 796 of the family's 1533-position model. The record is from RNAcentral.
AUACGGAGGGGGCUAGCGUUGUUCGGAUUUACUGGGCGUAAAGCGCGCGUAGGCGGCUUGCCAAGUUGGAGGUGAAAGCCCAGGGCUCAACCCUGGAACUGCCUUCAAAACUGGCUCGCUUGAGACCGGGAGAGGUGAGUGGAAUUCCCAGUGUAGGGGUGAAAUUCGUAGAUAUUGGGAGGAACACCAGUGGCGAAGGCGGCUCACUGGACCGGUACUGACGCUGAGGCGCGAAAGCGUGGGGAGCAAACAGGAUUAGAUACCCUAGUAGUCC